UACAGAGGUCCCAAGCGUUGUUCGGAUUCAUUGGGCGUAAAGGGUGCGUAGGUGGCGUCGUAAGUCGGGGUGUGAAAUCGUCCGGGGCUUAACCGAGGAACUGCACUCGAAACUACUUGUCUUGAGUGUCGGAGAGGAAAGCGGAAUUCCUGGUGGUAGAGGUGAAAUUCGUAGAUAUCAGGAGGAACACCGAUGGCGAAGGCAGCUGCGGCUGGGACGGUACUGCGCUGAGGCGCGAA
RNAcentral lists this ribosomal RNA (239 nucleotides) under uncultured bacterium. RNAcentral describes it as "partial 16S ribosomal RNA". It matches the Rfam family "Bacterial small subunit ribosomal RNA", at positions 524 to 757 of the family's 1533-position model. The record is from RNAcentral.